This 348-nucleotide ribosomal RNA is filed under the name Triticum aestivum (bread wheat). Its description in RNAcentral is "partial small subunit ribosomal RNA". The record is from RNAcentral. Lineage: Eukaryota; Viridiplantae; Streptophyta; Magnoliopsida; Poales; Poaceae.
AUGCCUCACCGGAUCCAGCAGCCCAAGUCCCCGGCGCGCGCCAUCCUGGGCGCCACCACCCCAGAUCUGGCCCGCGAUAGAGAGCGGUUGGCCGCACCACCCUCCAAAGCCGCGGCCGUCCGAGUCUUACCCUUAGUUGGAGUACAGCGAGGUGCGUGCGCCCAUGGGCUGGUAGUAGAUCGAUCGACCAGGAGAUGGGCACGGCCUCCAGAUGUAUCGGUAGACCGACGGUUGCCGCGGCGUCGACGGAGGAGGCAUGGCGGCUACGGUUUGGGGUUGGGGUGGGGGGCGAGAGCUCGGGGAAGAGAUAGGAGAGGGGAAGAGACGCGCACGGCACAAGUUGCGUAA